This is a long non-coding RNA of Pygocentrus nattereri (red-bellied piranha), 2803 nucleotides long. RefSeq lists it as uncharacterized. The record is from RefSeq and is a predicted model, not a curated record. The transcript has 2 exons. Lineage: Eukaryota; Metazoa; Chordata; Actinopteri; Characiformes; Serrasalmidae.
AAUCGACUCCCCGCCUCUGCCACGCACGCAGCUCCAAAACAAUAGAACCGUUUGAGAUGGUCCGUCUUGUUUCUAACAUCCCUACAAAGAACCGGUAAACACAGAGGCGCUGAGCUUUAACGGAAAAUUACGCUCAGUAUUAUGACAUUUGUUAGUGUUUUACCCUUUUUUGAAGCAUCAGAUUCUCUACGAGUGAGCGGUUAAAAUCCGGAUCUCCGCGGCGAUUUCACUUAGUAACGUUGCUGGAUUGGACUCGGCCGGGUUUCCCUCCUUCGUUCGGUUCUUCUUUCUGUCGUGUCUGCCGUACAUAACGCCGCAGAAGACAAGAUGGCGAAGCAACACACCGAGCCACAGGACCGAGUUUAAACCCGCAGCUUGACGGACGGACUUUCCCCGCAGCAGCUGGACUGAGAGCUGAACCUGGUUCUGUAGGCUGCGGUUCACCGGAUCCGCAGCUGGACUGAUCUGUUCGCUAUUCGCUCUGAUUGUGCACGUUGUGUGAGUUGGUUGAGGUUUUGCUUCUGCUCCCCUUUUUUCCCCCAUUCCUUUGUUUUCAUCCAUUCAUAUCUGAGAACUGUUGAAGGUUGCAUACCUAAAGAUUAAUAUAGAAACCCAGCACUUUGAUAUAGAGAGAAAAAAGUUAAAGCACUACAAUAAACUAAAACACCUUUCUUAGCGUAUUGCUCUACGAAUAAACUUGCUAAAUUAGACGUAGGAACAACUAAAACCCACAAAAUUUAAACGUAAGUGCAAUACUGUGCAAAACCUGAUGUCCACCCUUUUAGAAUUUCCAGUAAAACCAGCCAGAAAGUAUCAAAGUAUUUUUUUCAGCGUCAGAAAAGUAACAGGAGGCCGAUAAUUUGACGGAAAAACGCACACAGGCCUUUAAGAAAAAAGGUGUGAUAUCAAAUCUGUCACUAUUUCAUUUGCCAGCUGCUGCCACUGUAACUCUUCCAUCCUUCCAGUCUUUAACUAGUGAGUCACCUGUUCCCAAAACUGGCACUUUCCACUUUAAAGAGACACUAACGUUCACACAAGCAGCUACCCGAACACCUUCGCUGCCUUCCAGAUUUCUUUUUCAUGUGCGUCUAAAAUGGCCAAAGGAGGAAUUCCUGAGGAGCUCAGAUAUAAGGUAAUCCACUUACACAAGAAAGGGGAAAGUCAAAGGAAAAUAAGUGGAAAAACGGGAGUUUCCAAAACUGGAGUUCAGAAAAUUAUUGAAAGGUAUAAAGAAAAUGGCACCCCUAACGACCGCGCAAGGACUGGUAGACCACCAAAACUGUCCCCAUCAGAUAAGUGGUACUUGAAGGUUUCGUCUUUGAUGGAUAUGAGGAAAUCGAGCUCCUCGCUUGCUUUAGAUCUGAAAGCAUCUACAGGUGUUUCUGUCCAUCCUUCCACUGUGAGAAGGCAGCUCAACGCUAUGAGUAAAGGAACUGUGUCCGUGAAGAAGCCGGUACCGAAAAAAGAAAAGACUGCAAAGAAGAAAGAGAAGAAGAAGAAGCAUAAAGUUAAAAAAAUUAAAGAGGAGCAAGAAGAAAAAUCGCAGUAGAACAUUGACUGGACGCAGUCCGGACCCCAGCAUCACUCAGUGUGUUUCGGGUUACUUGGAUCAUGAGAAGUGAAAACGCAACUAAGCCUGAACUUUACAAGUGUUUACAAAACAAAAAAAACCUGUAAUAAAGGCAAAAUGUCGACACACAAAAUACUCAACAUUUUGAUAUUAUAUUUAGUUGAUGUGUCUUUUAUUGGUAAAUGUUUUUUUUCCUCUGAUGCUGAACAAUAAAUAACUUAUUAAUGGCCGAUUUGAUAGGAAAUUAAAUCAGAGUGGUCUCUGAAUUUUGCACAGUGCUGUAGAUCUCAAAGUAAUCCUAAGAUCCAUGUUAGUCUUAAAUAUAAACCAUUUCUUCACAAAGUGUAAAACCUUAAAUAUAUGAAACUCAUUAACCCCUUAAAAGACAAUUGUAUUAAUUGAAGAUCUACUGGAACCAAAAAAAAAAAAAGGAUUUACUUUUAGGCACUUGUGGUUGAUACUAAGUAUUAAGCCUGUCUUUCUUUGGUUUGUUAUUUACUUUAAUUACCUCGGUAUACCUGCCAAGCCUGCCGAAACCAAAAAUGACUUUUUUUGCAGUAUAAUUUGCAUAACUUGCCUCCGGUCUCAGCUUCUCCAGCUUUGCCACUCUCUCUGAAAUUGAACUGGCCCGUAUUAGUAUUCACCCAAUACCAGAUAUUACACAUAUUAGAGCUAUGUUACCUGUUACAGUAGCCUGUCGUAUAGCAACACCUUUUUAAUAUAUACUUUGCCAGUAAUAUCAGCAUUUAUUUGAAUAAACCUAAAAGCAAUAGGUUCCAUAGUCUGAAAGUUAAGAUAUUGUGAUGUUACUAAAGCUUGUUUUAUACACUAUAAUUGAUGAAGUCAUUGACCUUACUGGUCUGAGCAGGACAGGACAGACGUACUUGAGUGAUCACUGCGUUCACUUGUAAAUUCAGUUUAUUCAGUGUGGAUAUGUAUGUGAAAGUGACGUAUCUCUAUGACUGCUUUUACUCCGGCUCCAUCUUUAGCCCAUCACCGGCGGCUUCAAGGUGGUGGCUUCUGUUUUUGGCCAUGUGAUGCACUUUUGUCCAGUUUUAUAGGCAACAGUUUGUUAUACAUGUCAGAAACCACAUAAGCAACUCUGUUUGACCUUGCUUAAGGGUUCUGGAUUUGCUUGUAUCUGCCUUUUAUCUGCCUUCUGUCUGAGUUUGCAGCUGUUCUGGUAAUGAUUCCUGGAACAGCACUAAUAAAGCUGCUCUGCAUGUAAAUCCA